Branchiostoma floridae (Florida lancelet) is the source of this 278-nucleotide long non-coding RNA. RefSeq lists it as uncharacterized. The transcript has 2 exons. Lineage: Eukaryota; Metazoa; Chordata; Leptocardii; Amphioxiformes; Branchiostomatidae. The record is from RefSeq and is a predicted model, not a curated record.
UAUUCUAAUCAAGUAAUCCCAAGCGCAGGUGUAGAAAGUUAACAAAUCUAAUCAAGAACAGGUGAGAAAGAUUAAGGGAAACAGGUGAUGCCUGCCACGUGUAUACAGGGUAUAAUAUGCACAGAACAAAGGAAAUCCAUCCAGACAGUCCAAGUGAAUGCCGAGCGCAGGAAAGCGAGAAGGAAGCAAUGGCAUGAAGAGUAAGAGUUACGUGAGCGGUAUUAAUAAAUGGGUUGGUGAAGGGAAGGAGAUGGAGGGAAAGUUAAAAAAAAAAAAAA